UAGGGAAUCUUCGGCAAUGGGGGGAACCCUGACCGAGCAACGCCGCGUGAGUGAAGAAGGUUUUCGGAUCGUAAAGCUCUGUUGUUAAGGAAGAACGAGUGUGAGAAUGGAAAGUUCAUACUGUGACGGUACUUAACCAGAAAGGGACGGCUAACUACGUGCCAGCAGCCGCGGUAAUACGUAGGUCCCGAGCGUUGUCCGGAUUUAUUGGGCGUAAAGCGAGCGCAGGCGGUUAGAUAAGUCUGAAGUUAAAGGCGGUGGCUCAACCAUUGUAGGCUUUGGAAACUGUUUAACUUGAGUGCAGAAGGGGAGAGUGGAAUUCCAUGUGUAGCGGUGAAAUGCGUAGAUAUAUGGAGGAACACCGGUGGCGAAAGCGGCUCUCUGGUCUGUAACUGACGCUGAGGCUCGAAAGCGUGGGGAGCGAACAGG
RNAcentral lists this ribosomal RNA (429 nucleotides) under Bacteroidota bacterium. Its description in RNAcentral is "Bacteroidetes bacterium partial 16S ribosomal RNA". It matches the Rfam family "Bacterial small subunit ribosomal RNA", at positions 355 to 776 of the family's 1533-position model. Lineage: Bacteria; Pseudomonadati; Bacteroidota. The record is from RNAcentral.